GAGGACCUCUGGCGGCGCGCCUAACACAUGCAAGUCGAACGAGCGAGAGAGAGCUUGCUUUCUCAAGCGAGUGGCGAACGGGUGAGUAACGCGUGAGGAACCUGCCUCAAAGAGGGGGACAACAGUUGGAAACGACUGCUAAUACCGCAUAAGCCCACGACCCGGCAUCGGGUAGAGGGAAAAGAAGCAAUCCGCUUUGAGAUGGCCUCGCGUCCGAUUAGCUAGUUGGUGAGGUAAUGGCCCACCAAGGCGACGAUCGGUAGCCGGACUGAGAGGUUGAACGGCCACAUUGGGACUGAGACACGGCCCAGACUCCUACGGGAGGCAGCAGUGGGGAAUAUUGCACAAUGGGGGAAACCCUGAUGCAGCGACGCCGCGUGGAGGAAGAAGGUCUUCGGAUUGUAAACUCCUGUUGUUGAGGAAGAUAAUGACGGUACUCAACAAGGAAGUGACGGCUAACUACGUGCCAGCAGCCGCGGUAAAACGUAGGUCACAAGCGUUGUCCGGAAUUACUGGGUGUAAAGGGAGCGCAGGCGGGACGACAAGUUGGAAGUGAAAUCCAUGGGCUCAACCCAUGAACUGCUUUCAAAACUGUUUUUCUUGAGUAGUGCAGAGGUAGGCGGAAUUCCCGGUGUAGCGGUGGAAUGCGUAGAUAUUGGGAGGAACACCAGUGGCGAAGGCGGCCUACUGGGCACCAACUGACGCUGAGGCUCGAAAGUGUGGGUAGCAAACAGGAGUAGAUACCCUGGUAGUCCACACUGUAAACGAU
Molecule: ribosomal RNA, 769 nt
Filed under: uncultured bacterium
Lineage: Bacteria
Description: bacterial SSU rRNA
Rfam family: Bacterial small subunit ribosomal RNA
Source: RNAcentral